Long non-coding RNA from Drosophila erecta, 619 nucleotides. RefSeq lists it as uncharacterized. NCBI's taxonomy places the organism in Eukaryota, Metazoa, Arthropoda, Insecta, Diptera, Drosophilidae. The transcript is spliced from 2 exons. The record is from RefSeq and is a predicted model, not a curated record.
AGCCGAAUCUAUCGAUAGUAUCGCAUGGGAGGCGCUCCUAGUUCCAUCUCUAAUGUGCGUUGGGUUAUUUAUUUUUUUCUUGUGAUUUGUUUAUUGAGUGAGACCAAUACGAUGCGAUUUUGAUGCGCGAAUAGAAUGUAUUUCGUGGCACGAUGCUAUCAAUUUCAUAUGGAAAACACAAUUGUUUCCCAAUAGGAAAAGUUUGCAUCCUGUUUUCACACGCCAAACGCUCGACGUGUGUGUGUGUAUAUAUGUGUGGGGUGUAAGGUGCAUUUGUGUGUGUGCGUGAGAGGGGGAGGAUUCGUAAAAGUGUUUUUCUCGUUUUCCUGUAACUUAUCCCAAACAUGCAUGUAACAUCACUUGCAAAAGCCCAAAAAGCAUCUAUGAAAAUUCGGAGAAAUCCACUUUGCUUGGCUGUUGUGCUUGUGUGAGUGUGUUGUGUGUGCGAACGCGAAAGAGGGAGUGAGCAAGAGGCAUUUCUUUUGUUGAUACACCGCGCCGUACAAGUUCGGAGUAAAAAGCGAUCGGCAAAAACAAGAAAUCCCAACACAAAGUGGCACAGCUACCACAAAUAAAUAAAAACAUAAAUAAAAGUGCGCCCGCCCAAAAGUAGAAGAAA